GAUGAACGCUGGCGGCGUGCCUAAUACAUGCAAGUCGAGCGAACGGACGAGAAGCUUGCUUCUCUGAUGUUAGCGGCGGACGGGUGAGUAACACGUGGAUAACCUACCUAUAAGACUGGGAUAACUUCGGGAAACCGGAGCUAAUACCGGAUAAUAUUUUGAACCGCAUGGUUCAAAAGUGAAAGACGGUCUUGCUGUCACUUAUAGAUGGAUCCGCGCUGCAUUAGCUAGUUGGUAAGGUAACGGCUUACCAAGGCAACGAUGCAUAGCCGACCUGAGAGGGUGAUCGGCCACACUGGAACUGAGACACGGUCCAGACUCCUACGGGAGGCAGCAGUAGGGAAUCUUCCGCAAUGGGCGAAAGCCUGACGGAGCAACGCCGCGUGAGUGAUGAAGGUCUUCGGAUCGUAAAACUCUGUUAUUAGGGAAGAACAUAUGUGUAAGUAACUGUGCACAUCUUGACGGUACCUAAUCAGAAAGCCACGGCUAACUACGUGCCAGCAGCCGCGGUAAUACGUAGGUGGCAAGCGUUAUCCGGAAUUAUUGGGCGUAAAGCGCGCGUAGCGGUUUUUUAAGUCUGAUGUGAAAGCCCACGGCUCAACCGUGGAGGGUCAUUGGAAACUGGAAAACUUGAGUGCAGAAGAGGAAAGUGGAAUUCCAUGUGUAGCGGUGAAAUGCGCAGAGAUAUGGAGGAACACCAGUGGCGAAGGCGGCUUUCUGGUCUGUAACUGACGCUGAUGUGCGAAAGCGUGGGGAUCAAACAGGAUUAGAUACCCUGGUAGUCCACGCCGUAAACGAUGAGUGCUAAGUGUUAGGGGGUUUCCGCCCCUUAGUGCUGCAGCUAACGCAUUAAGCACUCCGCCUGGGGAGUACGACCGCAAGGUUGAAACUCAAAGGAAUUGACGGGGACCCGCACAAGCGGUGGAGCAUGUGGUUUAAUUCGAAGCAACGCGAAGAACCUUACCAAAUCUUGACAUCCUUUGACGACUCUAGAGAUAGAGCCUUCCCCUUCGGGGGACAAAGUGACAGGUGGUGCAUGGUUGUCGUCAGCUCGUGUCGUGAGAUGUUGGGUUAAGUCCCGCAACGAGCGCAACCCUUAAGCUUAGUUGCCAUCAUUAAGUUGGGCACUCUAAGUUGACUGCCGGUGACAAACCGGAGGAAGGUGGGGAUGACGUCAAAUCAUCAUGCCCCUUAUGAUUUGGGCUACACACGUGCUACAAUGGACAAUACAAAGGGCAGCGAAACCGCGAGGUUAAGCAAAUCCCAUAAAGUUGUUCUCAGUUCGGAUUGUAGUCUGCAACUCGACUACAUGAAGCUGGAAUCGCUAGUAAUCGUAGAUCAGCAUGCUACGGUGAAUACGUUCCCGGGUCU
RNAcentral lists this ribosomal RNA (1371 nucleotides) under uncultured bacterium. Its description in RNAcentral is "bacterial SSU rRNA". It matches the Rfam family "Bacterial small subunit ribosomal RNA", at positions 28 to 1381 of the family's 1533-position model. The record is from RNAcentral.